AGUGAACGCUGGCGGUAGGCCUAACACAUGCAAGUCGAACGGCAGCACAGUAAGAGCUUGCUCUUACGGGUGGCGAGUGGCGGACGGGUGAGGAAUACAUCGGAAUCUACUUUUUCGUGGGGGAUAACGUAGGGAAACUUACGCUAAUACCGCAUACGACCUACGGGUGAAAGCAGGGGAUCUUCGGACCUUGCGCGAUUGAAUGAGCCGAUGUCGGAUUAGCUAGUUGGCGGGGUAAAGGCCCACCAAGGCGACGGUCCGUAGCUGGUCUGAGAGGAUGAUCAGCCACACUGGAACUGAGACACGGUCCAGACUCCUACGGGAGGCAGCAGUGGGGAAUAUUGGACAAUGGGCGCAAGCCUGAUCCAGCCAUACCGCGUGGGUGAAGAAGGCCUUCGGGUUGUAAAGACCUUUUGUUGGGAAAGAAAAGCAGCAGGUUAAUACCCCGCUGUUCUGACGGUACCCAAAGAAUAAGCACCGGCUAACUUCGUG
RNAcentral lists this ribosomal RNA (492 nucleotides) under uncultured bacterium. RNAcentral describes it as "partial 16S ribosomal RNA". It matches the Rfam family "Bacterial small subunit ribosomal RNA", at positions 29 to 507 of the family's 1533-position model. The record is from RNAcentral.